Long non-coding RNA from Daktulosphaira vitifoliae (grape phylloxera), 3432 nucleotides. RefSeq lists it as uncharacterized. The record is from RefSeq and is a predicted model, not a curated record. The transcript is spliced from 5 exons. Lineage: Eukaryota; Metazoa; Arthropoda; Insecta; Hemiptera; Phylloxeridae.
AAUAUUACAAAAUCAAUACCUCUUUCAUUUCUCAGAUCACAGAAAAGAAUACGCUUACACUAUUACACAUUUAAUUCUGACUUUUGAAAAAUAUAAAGUAGUCAUGAGUCAUUGUCUUUCUCGGCGUCUUCAAGACACCACAAAAAUAUUAAAAAAGGGAAAUUAACAAUAAUAACUCUUUUGCGUUUAUUGGAAAACGGACUGAUGACUAAAUGUGUCAAUAAAAAACCAUGAAACAUUCGAGUCGCCCAAUCUCCGUUUAUGCCGUUCGUGGCACAUUGUAUAAGAGCUGAAGACUCUGUUUUUCCUCUUACUCUCUUAUCUCUUUUUUUCACUCAACAAUCUCUGUAAUCAAGUAACUCUAUAAGAUUAUUCCCUACGUACUAUAGUGUAUUCUUUUUACUGUGUCUCUAUAGUCUUAACAUUUUUUACUAAGUAUAAAACGUACAUUUGUUAAAAUAACUAACACUUUGCUUAAAAAUAUAUGAGCUUAAAUAAUUCCCCUAUAAUUCUCUUUUAUUAACUUACGUACUAUAAUUUUAAACAACACUUAAAAACUACAAGUCAACAAACGAGAAUCUAUCAUCAUCAGUGGAUAUCAGAACCAAAAGAAAUAGAAUAUGGUCUUGAACUCACUCUCGGUAUCAAUAGCACUGAAGCUAAUUGGAAAAAUAUCACGUUAAUGAUUUCAUGACCAGAAACUAUACACCUUUAAAGGAUUUGGAAUUAAUAUUAACUUUAAUUUAUAAAAAAUAUACAAUAGGUGUAUAACUAUCUUUUGCUUAACAUUUUUUUAAAAUUAUUUCGAAUUAAAAAAAUUUCUUCCUACCACCCCCUGCCACUCAUCUAAUGCAUUGACUUCUUGUGACGUAUAACUAUACACUAUUACUAUAAAAAAAAAACCACCAUAAAAUAUUUAUUUUAAAUUCUAUUUUUGCACUUGUUUAAACAAUUUAAAAUUUUUAAGCUUAUUACAAUAAUGAAAUGAAUUUAAAUUUAAUCAAUAUAUAGUUUUAUAAAACAUUUUCAAUGAUUUACAAACUUAUUAAUCACUUAAUCGAAAAAUAAAAAUACAUUUUUUUUUUUAUUUGGACAAGUCUCUUAUGCAAACAAUAAUAAAUAACUCGGUAAAUGUCAAGCAAAAUUAAUUUUUCGCAUAAAAUUAUGGAUAACUACGCUAAUAUUUAAACAUAUUAAAAAAAAAACUAUUUAAAAAUUUUAUUUUUCCUUGUGGAUAGGGUAUAAGAAUACUUCCACUGCCCCUCUGCCAGUCGUAAGAGGCGACUAAUGAGGUUGCGUUAGGUCGACAGCCGACGUAAAAUUUUUGUCAAAUAGUAGAGAUGUCCUGAACGAAAUUUAUGUGAAUUGUUCCAUCUCGGAUGUACGUGGGGACAACAGGUGAGAGGGAAUAAUGUAGUUAAAAACGGAGAAGGCCUAAGGUUAUUCCUGUGUUUGACACCAGCCGGACAACUUGUGCGAUAGCUGUUUACCAGUUAUAUGUUCAGGUCUACCCAACGCUUGUAGUGUCAAUGGUGUAGGGAUAUCACCACUCAACUCUAGGCUGGACUCGUGUUUAAGGGGGAAAGAUAGAUACAAAGUAAGAAUAGGUACUUGGAAUGUUGGAACAUUAACUGGUAGAUGUAGAGAAUUAGUAUUGAAGAGAAGAAAAGUUAACAUUUGUUGUGUGCAGGAAACUAAAUGGAACGGAGAGAAAUCGAGGGGAAUAGGUGAGGGUUAUAAAAUAAUAUACUCAGGUAAGUCCAGUACAAAGAAUGGUGUAGGGAUAAUGUUUAUGUGUCCAGUCUGCCCUCCUGUAGUAAUACGUGUGUCACUGUGUCAACCAUAUAAGCUUAGUUGGGGUUAUAAUAAUAAUGUAAGAUUUUAUCGCAUAUAUGUGAUCGUAUCAGCUGCUCCCGCUACAUUUUAGGCCUGACCUCAGACCUUAACAAAAUAAAACAAUUUGAGAUAAUAAUAAAAAAAAAUUUUAUCUGAAAUAAAGUUAUUUGGAGAGAUAUUAACAUCUUAGUAACAAUCUCUAAAUCUUCGAUGUCCACGCUCCUAAAGCUUUUAAGCUUUGAAGGAGUUUCCAUCACGUGGGCUCUCAAUUGUCGACUACCAAGCGGGGUUCAAUGAGAAAUUGUAUAUUUUUUAUAAAUUAAAGUUAGUAUUAAUUCCAAAUCCUUAAGCCCGUGUACGAUCCUACAAAACCAGACCGUGGAUCGUAUACCAAGACAUUAAUGACUUGUACAGCUGGGCUAUGAGUCAGUCUAUACCGUACGGCGGGUUCCGGUGGUAUGAACGCAAAGACGCCAUAGCCGAUUUAAACCGGUUGUCCGACACCGGCAGAAUAUUUGAAGUCGACGUAUCCUAUCCCCAAGAGAUGCACGACGGUCAUAACGAUUUACCUUUUUUGCCUGAAAACAACGUACCGCCCGGAUCCAAAACGACUAAACUUAUGGCCACUUUGAAACCUAAACGGUGGUACAUUUUGCACUAUGUCAACUUAAAGCAGGCCAUCGCUCACGAGCUGCCAGUCGAAAAAUUAACGAUAAUUUGCAUAUAUAUAUAUAUUAACAUACGAGCAUAUUACAUUUUGCAGAUCCACCGCAUUUAAAUGUUUAAACAGAGCGUUUGACUACAAUCGUAUAUUGCUUUAAAUACGGAAAUGAGGAAAAAAGUGGUCAAUAACUUCAAAAAGACUUUCGAUGCGAAGCUGAGCAGACUCUUUCAUGUAUAUCAUUCGGGCUAAAAACUAUUACCGAGACUUGGUCCGGACAUACUGCGUCAUUGGACACGUCGAACCUGCCCAAAAAUCAUCCCAGCAACUCAAUCGUCCGCGACAAGGUGCCUGAUUUUUUUUUCGGACGAGACGGGUGAUCUUAUGCUUUAUGAAUGGGUAGCGCUUUGGUCAAAGUGCUGCGCUUACGACUUAGAGGAACGGAUCAAGCCUAAAGGAAUACGUAGGCAUAUCGUUGGAAAUCAUUUGACGUUGGAUGACUUCAAACGGUGUCUAUUCCAAGACGAUGAUGAGAAUGACAACGACAGCGAGUUAAAACGAUUUUUAGUUGGACAAAAUGGCCACGCGGUCAACGAGGUUAUACGUAGAGACGAACAUCCACAAACAUCAUCGUUACCGUACACUCCGUACAGGUUCGCAUUUUGUGAACAACAAAGUUAGCGGUUAAUCGUCACGACGACAACCGCUAGAUCUUGAAGAACAGAUUCGAUACGUUAGCCUACGGACAUUAUGCCAUACCACAGUGAGAAAUUUGAUCUUCAUUAGUUUUUAUAAUAAUAAGAUUGUAAAAUUUUUUUUUGAAUAUUUACUAUGUAUAUAUAAAAUGUAAAAUAUAUUUUACGCAAAUCAUAUAAUUUAAUUAUAUGUUAUAGUUUUUUGUAAAUAUAAGUAGUGUAUAUUUUUAAUUGUUGUUA